Molecule: ribosomal RNA, 375 nt
Filed under: Escherichia coli
Lineage: Bacteria; Pseudomonadati; Pseudomonadota; Gammaproteobacteria; Enterobacterales; Enterobacteriaceae
Description: bacterial SSU rRNA
Rfam family: Bacterial small subunit ribosomal RNA
Source: RNAcentral
CGGGAGGCAGCAGUGGGGAAUAUUGCACAAUGGGCGCAAGCCUGAUGCAGCCAUGCCGCGUGUAUGAAGAAGGCCUUCGGGUUGUAAAGUACUUUCAGCGGGGAGGAAGGGAGUAAAGUUAAUACCUUUGCUCAUUGACGUUACCCGCAGAAGAAGCACCGGCUAACUCCGUGCCAGCAGCCGCGGUAAUACGGAGGGUGCAAGCGUUUAAUCGGAAUUACUGGGGCGUAAAGCGCACGGCAGGCGGGUUUGAUAAGUCAGAUGUGAAAUCCCCGGGCUCAACCCUGGGAACUGCAUCUGAUACUGGCAAGCUUGAGUCUCGGUAGAGGGGGGUAGAAUUCCAGGUGUAGCGGGUGAAAUGCGUAGAGAUCUGGA